AAUAGGGAAAUUUAAUAUUUAGCUUUCGCAGUCUCAAACAAUCAAGUUUGGAAAAGGUUUAAUGGAAAUAAAUUUGUAGAGAGAGAAUAAAAAUCUAAAGAUUCAAAAUUAUUUCAUUUAUACAUAUGUCCUUAAAAUUUAUAUUCUA
This is a non-coding RNA of Caenorhabditis elegans, 148 nucleotides long. Lineage: Eukaryota; Metazoa; Nematoda; Chromadorea; Rhabditida; Rhabditidae. The record is from Ensembl.